This 728-nucleotide ribosomal RNA is filed under the name Pseudomonas sp. Y4_254_2. RNAcentral's name for it is "bacterial SSU rRNA". It matches the Rfam family "Bacterial small subunit ribosomal RNA", at positions 59 to 783 of the family's 1533-position model. Lineage: Bacteria; Pseudomonadati; Pseudomonadota; Gammaproteobacteria; Pseudomonadales; Pseudomonadaceae. The record is from RNAcentral.
CAGUCGAGCGGUAGAGAGAAGCUUGCUUCUCUUGAGAGCGGCGGACGGGUGAGUAAUGCCUAGGAAUCUGCCUGGUAGUGGGGGAUAACGUUCGGAAACGGACGCUAAUACCGCAUACGUCCUACGGGAGAAAGCAGGGGACCUUCGGGCCUUGCGCUAUCAGAUGAGCCUAGGUCGGAUUAGCUAGUUGGUGGGGUAAUGGCUCACCAAGGCGACGAUCCGUAACUGGUCUGAGAGGAUGAUCAGUCACACUGGAACUGAGACACGGUCCAGACUCCUACGGGAGGCAGCAGUGGGGAAUAUUGGACAAUGGGCGAAAGCCUGAUCCAGCCAUGCCGCGUGUGUGAAGAAGGUCUUCGGAUUGUAAAGCACUUUAAGUUGGGAGGAAGGGUUGUAGAUUAAUACUCUGCAAUUUUGACGUUACCGACAGAAUAAGCACCGGCUAACUCUGUGCCAGCAGCCGCGGUAAUACAGAGGGUGCAAGCGUUAAUCGGAAUUACUGGGCGUAAAGCGCGCGUAGGUGGUUUGUUAAGUUGGAUGUGAAAUCCCCGGGCUCAACCUGGGAACUGCAUUCAAAACUGACUGACUAGAGUAUGGUAGAGGGUGGUGGAAUUUCCUGUGUAGCGGUGAAAUGCGUAGAUAUAGGAAGGAACACCAGUGGCGAAGCGACCACCUGGACUAAUACUGACACUGAGGUGCGAAAGCGUGGGGAGCAAACAGGAUUAGAU